RNAcentral lists this ribosomal RNA (467 nucleotides) under uncultured Pelotomaculum sp. RNAcentral's name for it is "bacterial SSU rRNA". It matches the Rfam family "Bacterial small subunit ribosomal RNA", at positions 918 to 1380 of the family's 1533-position model. Lineage: Bacteria; Bacillati; Bacillota; Clostridia; Eubacteriales; Desulfotomaculaceae. The record is from RNAcentral.
GACGGGCCGCACAAGCGGUGGAGCAUGUGGUUAAUUCGACGCAACGCGAAGAACUUACCAGGCUUGACAUCCCCUGACCGCGUAUGAAAGUACGUUUUCACCCUCGGGUGACAGGGAGACAGGUGGUGCAUGGUUGUCGUCAGCUCGUGUCGUGAGAUGUUGGGUUAAGUCCCGCAACGAGCGCAACCCCUACGUUUAGUUGCUAACGCGUGAAGGCGAGCACUCUAGACGAACUGCCGUUGACAAAACGGAGGAAGGUGGGGAUGACGUCAAAUCAUCAUGCCCCUUAUGUUCUGGGCUACACACGUGCUACAAUGGCCGGUACAGACGGACGCAAAGCCGCGAGGUGGAGCAAAUCCUAAAAAGCCGGUCUCAGUUCGGAUUGCAGGCUGCAAUUCGCCUGCAUGAAGUCGGAAUCGCUAGUAAUCGCAGGUCAGCAUACUGCGGUGAAUACGUUCCCGGGCCUU